UUGAACGCUGGCGGCAGGCUUAACACAUGCAAGUCGAGCGGAAACGAUGGGAGCUUGCUCCCAGGCGUCGAGCGGCGGACGGGUGAGUAACGCGUAGGAAUCUGCCCAGUAGAGGGGGAUAGCCCGAGGAAACUCGGAUUAAUACCGCAUACGCCCUACGGGGGAAAGGCCGGGAUCUUCGGACCGGUCACUAUUGGAUGAGCCUGCGUUGGAUUAGCUAGUUGGUGGGGUAAAGGCCUACCAAGGCGACGAUCCAUAGCUGGUCUGAGAGGAUGAUCAGCCACACUGGGACUGAGACACGGCCCAGACUCCUACGGGAGGCAGCAGUGGGGAAUAUUGGACAAUGGGCGCAAGCCUGAUCCAGCCAUGCCGCGUGUGUGAAGAAGGCUCUAGGGUUGUAAAGCACUUUCAGUAGGGAGGAAGGCUUAUCCUUAAUACGGAUGAGUACUUGACGUUACCUACAGAAGAAGCAC
This 473-nucleotide ribosomal RNA is filed under the name uncultured Marinobacter sp. Its description in RNAcentral is "bacterial SSU rRNA". It matches the Rfam family "Bacterial small subunit ribosomal RNA", at positions 30 to 493 of the family's 1533-position model. Lineage: Bacteria; Pseudomonadati; Pseudomonadota; Gammaproteobacteria; Pseudomonadales; Marinobacteraceae. The record is from RNAcentral.